This 467-nucleotide ribosomal RNA is filed under the name uncultured bacterium. Its description in RNAcentral is "partial 16S ribosomal RNA". It matches the Rfam family "Bacterial small subunit ribosomal RNA", at positions 29 to 507 of the family's 1533-position model. The record is from RNAcentral.
ACGAACGCUGGCGGCGUGCUUAACACCUUCCAGUCGGACGGAAAGGCCCUGCUUUUGUGGGGUGCUCGAGUGGCGACCGGGUGAGUAACACGUGAGUAACCUGCCCUUGAUUUUGGUAUAACUUCAUGAAACUGGGGCUACUACCGGCUAGGAGCUCCUGCUGCAUGGUGGUGGAUGGAAAGUUUCGGCUGUUGGGGAUGGACUCGCGGCUUAUCAGCUUGCUGGUGGGGUAGUGGCUUACCAAGGCUUUGACGGGUAGCCGGCCUGAGAGGGUGACCGGCCACAUUGGGACUGAGGUACGGCCCAGACUCCUACGGGAGGCAGCAGGGGAGAGUAUGACACAAUGGGCGGGAGCGUGAGGCAGCGACGCCGCGUGCGGGAUGACGGGCUUCGGGGGGUAAACCGCUUUCGCCUGUGCCGAAGCGUGAGUGACGGUAAUGGGUAAAGAAGCACCGGCUAACUACGUG